This 520-nucleotide ribosomal RNA is filed under the name Astrodia duospina. RNAcentral describes it as "partial large subunit ribosomal RNA". It matches the Rfam family "Bacterial large subunit ribosomal RNA", at positions 1808 to 2608 of the family's 2925-position model. Lineage: Eukaryota; Metazoa; Echinodermata; Ophiuroidea; Euryalida; Asteronychidae. The record is from RNAcentral.
CAAAAACAUCGCUUUUGGAUAAUAAUCAAAAGGUUCUGCCUGCCCAGUGAUCAAUUAAUUUGAUUAAACGGCUGCGGUACUCUGACCGUGCAAAGGUAGCAUAAUCAUUAGCCUGUUAAUUCCAGGCUGGAAUCAAUGGCAAGACGAGGAGGAAGCUGUCUCUUUCUAUUUUUUUUGAAUUUUAUUUUUUGGUGAAGAGGCCAAAAUAAUAAAGUGGGACGAGAAGACCCUAUUGAGCUUUAGCUUUUUUUUAAUUAAUAAUUAAGUUAGAAGUUUUGGUUGGGGCAACUAUUUUUUAUAUUAAACAAAAGUUUAUAAGUUAAUGAGUUGAUUCUAUAAUGACCCAGAUUAGAUAUUUUGGUAGAAAGAAAAAGUUACCAUAGGGAUAACAGCGUAAUUCUUUUUGAGAGUACAUAUUGACAAAGGAGUUUGCGACCUCGAUGUUGGAUCAAGUUUUCCUGAAGGUGUAGUCGUUUUCAAGGGUUGGUUUGUUCAACCAUAAAAAUCUUACGUGAUCUGA